GUCUGGUUGUAUUGGCGCAGUGGUGAUCAAGGCUUAAUUCAACAUGAAUACCUGUUGGAGGCUUUGUCAAACAUCAGCCUAAUCAGCUUUCACAGGCCACAAUUGCAAGAACAAGCAGAGUUCUUUGUGAAUCUGUUCUGUGCCGCUGCAGAGAGAGAAAAGCAGACAGGAGAGAAGAUUCUGGACCUCUUGAAACCAGUUUGGAAAUAUAAAACAUUGCCUUCAAAUCACCUAAACAGGAAUAAAUAUCAGAGUGACUUCCUGCUGGAUCUUUACUCCCAGCUGAAGGACUGUGAGACUAAAACAGGUCUGAGUCUCCUUCCAUCAUUACAGUCAGUUUUCCAGUCAGCUCCUCCAGUCUGGAUCAUAAAGCUCUCAGAGAGAAAGACCUCCAUCCUCCUGGAAGUGUUGAAGCUCCAAUCAGAGAAGAAACCAGUGAAGCUGAAAGGCUGCACGCAUGAAGAGAUUGAAGUGAGGAGUUUCCUACAGUGUCUGCCUUAUAUC
This is a long non-coding RNA of Cyprinodon variegatus (sheepshead minnow), 504 nucleotides long. RefSeq lists it as uncharacterized. The transcript is spliced from 3 exons. NCBI's taxonomy places the organism in Eukaryota, Metazoa, Chordata, Actinopteri, Cyprinodontiformes, Cyprinodontidae. The record is from RefSeq and is a predicted model, not a curated record.